RNAcentral lists this long non-coding RNA (5046 nucleotides) under Homo sapiens (human). RNAcentral's name for it is "HSALNT0123926". Lineage: Eukaryota; Metazoa; Chordata; Mammalia; Primates; Hominidae. The record is from RNAcentral.
CACCACGCCCAGCUAAUUUUUUGUAUUUUUAGUAGAGAUGGGGUUUCACCAUGUUAGCCAGGAUGGUCUCCAUGUCCUGACCUCGUGAUCUGCCCGCCUCGGCCUCCCAAAGUGCUGGGAUUACAGGCGUGAGCCACUGCGCCCGGCCUGCAGAUUUUUUCUUUACUUCAUUUAUUUAUUUACUUAUUUUAAGAGACAGGGUCUCACUCUAUUACCCAGGCUGGUCUUGAACUCCUGGGCUCAACAGAUCUUCCUGCCUUGGCCUCCCAGUGGGUGAGCCGGUGGACCUGGCCAUCUUCAAAAAUUGAAAUCACUGAAAGGCACCUGGUCAUCAUUUUCUUGUCAAACUUUUCAAUCAGAGCAAGUAAUCUGUGGUUGCCCAGCCUUCAGAUUAGUAGACUCGAGUGGAGACCAGGCCAUAUUCCAGGGAGCCACCUCAGGCCUUUUGACCUGGAACGCACAGGUGAUUACCACAGCCCAGGGUGAUAAAGAACUCAUUCCUAUGACUUGAAAGGGUGAUUUUAAUGUGUGCUGGACAUUGCCCUAAGUAUUUACGCACAUUAUCUCACUUAGCUCUUUACCAGUGAAUGAGGUACCUAUUAGCAGCCUCCUUCCACAAAUACAUUGAAGUUGAGUGAGAUUAGAUAAAUUGCUCACCUGUCUUAGCAAAGGCUUUCUGGUAUGAGUUACAGAAACGAACUUCAGCUGAAUCUUUUGCAAAGAAAAAGAAUAUGGGACCCGGGGCGUGGCUCACGCCUAUAAUCCCAGCACUUUGGAAGGCAAAGGCAGGCGGGUCACCUGAGGUCAGGAGUUUGAGAUCAACCAGGCCAACAUGGUGAAAUCCUGUCUCUACUAAAAAUACAAAAAUUAGCCAGGCGUGGUGAUGGGCACCUGUAGUCCCAGCUACUCAGGAAGCUGAGGCAGGAGAAUUGCUUGAACCCGGUAGGUGGAGGUUGCAGUGAGCUGAGAUCACGCCAUUGCACUCCAGCCUGGGCGACAGAGCGAGACUCCGUCUCAACAUAAAUUAAUAACAAAUAAGAAAAAGAAUACAGGUGGGCAGCCAAAGUUACUUGUAGGCUCUCAGGAUAUCUCGCUGAAUCCAGGGGCUGAUUUGCUACGAGACAGAGGAAGGUGCUGAACCUGGCUCAGGAGACAGCUGGAAACUCAGGAAAUCAACCAUCAAGCCUCCCAGAUGGUAUCAAGGAACUGAAACUUACCAGAUCACUGCAUUUGGACAAUGAGAUGCAGAACCCCUCAUCUGUCAUAAUGGCCUAACAGACCACCUGCUGCCUGUUGAUCAACUCCUCUUCCUUACCCCUCCCUAAUUCCUGUUUUACUGCAUGUAGUUACAUUUCUUCCUUCCUAUAUAAACCUCUAAUUUUAGUUGGUCAGGGAGACAAAUUUGAAACUGAUCUCCCAUCUCCUUGGCUGGAGCACCCAAUUAAAGCCUUCUUCCCUGGCACUACUGAUUGGCUUUCUGUGCAGCAAGCGGCAGGACCUACACCAAACCCCUGGCAUUUUGGCAACAGCACUGGUCAUGCUAGGGAAAAAGUUCAAGAUCUCAACUUCCAAGACCCAGGGAAGCCUCUCACAAUUUCUAAAGGGCAGGGCAGAAGAGAUCUUUGAAAGUGAAUCUGAAUGAGAAUAAAAGUGCAGUUUCACUUUAAAUUUUCCAAAAAGCUUAUUAAAUUGGUAUUUUCAUAUGCUUUUGAAAACUUUAUUUAUUUAUUUAUUUAGAGACAGAGUCUCACUCUGUCACCUAGGUUGGAGUGCAGUGGCGUGCUCUCGUCUCACUGCAACCUCUGCCUUUCAGGCUCAAGCGAUUCUCCUGCCUCAGCCUCCUGAGUAGCUGGGAUUACAGGUGGCACCACCACCAUGCCCAGCUAAUUUUUGUAUUUUUUUUUUUUUUUGAGACAGAUUUCGCUAGUUUCGCCCUUGUUGCCCAGGCUGGAGUGCGAUGGUGCAAACUUGGCUCACUGCAACCUCCACCUCCCUGGUUCAAGUGAUUCUCCUGCCUCAGCCUCCCAAGUACGUGGGAUUACAGGUGCCCACCACCACAUCCAGCUGAUUUUUUGUGUUUUAGUGGAUAUGGGGUUUCACCAUGUUGGCGAGGCUGGUCUUGAACUCCUGUCCUCAAGUGAUCCACCAGCCUUGGCAUCCCAGAAGGAUGGGAUUAUAGGCAUGAGCCACUGCGCCUGGCCUAAUUUUUAUAUUUUCAGUAGAGAUGAGGUUUCACCACAUUGGCCAGGCUGGUCUCGAACUCCUGACCUCAGGUGAUCCGCCUACCUCUGCCUCCCAAAGUGCUGGGAUUGCAGGCAUGAGCUACCGUGACUGGCUGAAAACUUUAUUUCAAAACUAAUCAUGCUGGUUGUAAUAUGCUUGUGUAGGUUACAUGUAUAUUUUUCCACAGAUUUUUCUAUGCUCUUUCAACCGUAUAUACACCUGUACACACAUAUUUAGGGUUUUUCCUCCAAAAAAGUGACAAAAAUGGGAUCACGCCAUAAUACAUUCCUCCAUAGUUUUAUUCCCUCUUCCAUCUCUACCCCUCCUCCACUUAUUACCAUGGACAUCCCUGUAGGACAUACGGGAAGAUGUCUCAUUUGUUAAAAUAUACUUAAUAUUCCACAAUAGGCUGGGUGCAGUUGCCCACACCUGUAAUCCCAGCACUUUUGGGAGGCUGAGAUGGGCCGGAUCACCUGAGGUCAGGAGUUCAAAACCAGCCUGGCCAAAAUAGGGAUACCCUGUCUUUACUAAAAGUACAAAAAUUAGCCAGGCAUGGUGAUGCGUGCCUGUAGUCCCUGCUAUUCAGGAGCUGAGGCAGGAAAAUCACUUGAAUCCGGGAGUUGGAGGUGGCAGUGAGCUGAGAUUGCACUACUGCACUCCAACCUGGGCAACAGGGCGAGACUCCAUCUCAAAAAAAAAAAAAAAAAAAAAAAAAAAUCCACAAUAAGUAGAUGUUACAAUUCAUUUAACUAUAGGUUGAGUAUCCCUAAUCUGAAAAAAACCCCAAAUUAGAAACAUAAUGCUCAAAGGAAAUGGUCCCUGAGCAUUUUGAUUUUUGAAUUUUUGAAUUAGGCAUGAAAAUAUGCCAAAAUCUGAAAAAAUAUCUGAAAUUUUAAAUACUUAUUUCCCAAGCAUUUGGAAUAAGUGAUACUCAGCCUAUAUUUGCUAUUGAUGGCCAUUUUCAGUUUUUACUAAUACAAGCAGAAAAUAACAUUAGAAUUUAGGUAAUUUUAUUUCUGGCAGAUAGAUGCCUAAAGAGCAAUCAAUUGCUGUAUCAAAUGGUGCACAUGGCCAGGUACAGUGGUUCAUGCCUAUAAUCUCAGGGCUUUGGGAGGUCGGGGUGGUAGGAUUGCUUGAGGCCAGGAGUUUGAGACCAGCCUGAGCAACAUAGCAAGGCUCUGUAUCUACGAAAAAUAAAAAAAAAUUAGCCGGGCAUGGUGGUGCCUGCCUGUCUUCCCAGGUACUCAGGAGGCUGAGGUGGGAGGAUCACUUGAGCCAGGGAGGUUGAGGCUGUAGUGAGCAGUGAUCUUGCUACUGCACUCCAGCCUGGGCGACAGAGCAAGACCCUCCUCCUGCAACAACAACAACAAAAAAAAGUGCACAUAUUUAAAAAUUUUAAGAUACCACCAGGCCAGGUGCAGUGGCUCAUGCCGUAAUCCCAGCACUUUGGGAGGCUGAGGCAGGUGGAUCUCCUGAGGUCAAGAGUUUGAGACCUGGCCAGGCAUGGUGGCUCACUCUUGUAAUCCCAGCACUUUGGGAGGCUGAGGCAGGCGGAUCAUGAGGUCAGGAGUUCGAGACCAGCCUGGUCAACACAGUGAAACCCCGUCUCUACUAAAAAUAUAAAAAUUAGCUGGGCAUGGAGGCGGGUGCCUGUAAUCCCAGCUACUGGGGAGGCUGAGGCAUGAGAAUUGCUUGAACCUGGGAGGUGGAGGUUGCAAUGAGCCGAGAUCACGCCACUGCACUCCAGCCUGGGUGACAGAGCUAGACUUCAUUUCAAAAAAACAAAACAAAACAAAAAAACAGAGUUUGAGACCAGCCUGGCCAACAUGGUGAAACCUCGUCUCUACUAAAAAUACAAAAAAAAAAAAAAAUUAUCUGGGCGUGGUGGCAUGCACCUGUAAUCCCAGCUACUUGGAGAGGCUGAGGCAGGAGAAUCGCUUGAACCCAGGAAGCAGAGUUUGCAGUGAGCCAAGAUCGUGCCACUGUACUCCAGCCUAGGCAACAAAGGGAGACUCCAUCACAAAAAAAGAUACCACCAAAUUACUUUCUUGAAAGGUUAGAGCCAGUUAUGCUUCUAUCAGUAAAUGCAUGAACGUGCCUGUUCCUUCACUUCCUUGCCAAUAUCACAAUUAAUCUCUUACCUUUUCUUCAAUAUGAUGGGUAGAAAAUGAUUUCUCAUUGUUUAGCAUUUCUCUGAGAGAAGCUGAAUAUCCUAUUUUGCAUUUAAUUUUAAAUUAAUGUGUCAAUUUUCCCCAUGCUUAGGGGUGAAUAUUAGACCUUUUUCUUGGUUGGUCAUAACUUAUUGGCAUUUUACCUGUCUUACCUGUUGCACAUAUUUUCUCCUAGCCAUAAUUUUUUUUUUUUUUUUUUUUUUUUUUUUGAGACAGAGUCUUAUUCUCUGUCGCCUAGGCUGGAGUGCAAUGGCACAAUGUCAGCUCACUGCAUCCUCCGCUUCCUGGGCUCAAGAGAUUCUUCUGCCUCAGCUUCCUGAGUAGCUGGGAUUACAGGCGCGUGCCACCAUGCUCAGAUAAUUUUUUUUUUUUUUGUAUUUUUAGUAGAGACAGGGUUUUACCAUGUUGCCCAGGCUGGUAUUGAACUCCUGACUUAAAGUGAUCCACCAGCUUUGGCCUCCCAAAGUGCUGGGAUUACAGGCAUGAGCCACUGUGCCUAGCUGAGCCAUAAUAUCUUUAAACUUUUUUCUUGAGACAGGGUCUCACUGUGUUGCCUAGGCUGAGUGCAGUGGCCUGAUCAUGGUUCACUGCAUCCUCAACCUCUCAGGCUCAAGCAAUCCUCCUACCUCAGCCUUUCUAGUAGCUGGGACUA